RNAcentral lists this ribosomal RNA (311 nucleotides) under uncultured bacterium. Its description in RNAcentral is "partial 16S ribosomal RNA". It matches the Rfam family "Bacterial small subunit ribosomal RNA", at positions 502 to 810 of the family's 1533-position model. The record is from RNAcentral.
UAAGAGACAGCAGCCGCGGGAAUACGGAGGGUGCAAGCGUUAUCCGGAUUUAUUGGGUUUAAAGGGUCCGUAGGCGGAUCUGUAAGUCAGUGGUGAAAUCUCACAGCUUAACUGUGAAACUGCCAUUGAUACUGCAGGUCUUGAGUAAAUUUGAAGUGGCUGGAAUAAGUAGUGUAGCGGUGAAAUGCAUAGAUAUUACUUAGAACACCAAUUGCGAAGGCAGGUCACUAAGAUUUAACUGACGCUGAUGGACGAAAGCGUGGGGAGCGAACAGGAUUAGAUACCCCCGUAGUCCCUGUCUCUUAUACACA